RNAcentral lists this ribosomal RNA (253 nucleotides) under uncultured bacterium. RNAcentral's name for it is "partial 16S ribosomal RNA". It matches the Rfam family "Bacterial small subunit ribosomal RNA", at positions 524 to 776 of the family's 1533-position model. The record is from RNAcentral.
UACGGAGGGUGCAAGCGUUAUCCGGAUUCACUGGGUUUAAAGGGUGCGUAGGCGGGCAGGUAAGUCAGUGGUGAAAUCUCCGGGCUUAACCCGGAAACUGCCGUUGAUACUAUCUGUCUUGAAUAUCGUGGAGGUAAGCGGAAUAUGUCAUGUAGCGGUGAAAUGCUUAGAUAUGACAUAGAACACCCAUUGCGAAGGCAGCUUAUUACACGAUCAUUGACGCUGAGGCACGAAAGCGUGGGGAGCAAACAGG